Molecule: non-coding RNA, 661 nt
Organism: Amborella trichopoda
Lineage: Eukaryota; Viridiplantae; Streptophyta; Magnoliopsida; Amborellales; Amborellaceae
Source: RefSeq, a predicted model, not a curated record
AUAUUGGGGAUAAGAUUAAGUAGGGCAAUUGGACCACCAAAAAUCAUUCCAAAGAUAAGAGGACAAGAGGAUCGAUAAAUCCAAUAUGAGAAGUUGUUUAUAUAGAGAGUGCUCACAAUAUGAGAUUUUAUCUCAUCCUUACUGAGAGAAUUUGAGAUAAAAGAGCGGAUGUGUUACCAAACCCCUUGCAAUGCUUGUGGCAAGACCACAUGGGGUGGGUGUGGUAAGCAUGUGGCCUCUGUUUAUAGAAGCAUAGAGAAAGGAAAGCAUUGCGUAUGUCGCCCUUGGCCUGGUGUGGAUACCUCCACAACAUCUGAGGGUUCAACUUCUACCAAAAGUUGAGGUGUGGUUAUCGUGUAGGCUAGUGGACGAAUAAAGAAUGCUUGAGAAGGAAAUAAGAGAAUAAUGUGGUUUGUGGUAUGCAACCUGGUUUCCAUGGUGCUCAGGAGAGAGACAAUCUCAUCUUGUCUUGUGUGAGCUGUGGAGGAUAAGAGGGAGAUGGUAUUUAUGUUUGUUUGUGUGUGUCACAAACGUUAGUGAGAAGAAAGAAAGACAAUUUGCUGUUGUCUUUUAUGUUGGAGACUUAAUUAAAAAUGUUGUAUUAGUUUGCAUGUAUUUGCAUGAGAAUAUUUUGCAUAUAGUUAUGACUUUGGGUUUGGCU